UACGUAAGUUCCGAGCGUUGUCCGGAAUUAUUGGGCGUAAAGGGUACGUAGGUGGAUAAGCAAGUUAGAAGUGAAAGGCUAUAGCUCAACUAUAGUAAGCGUUUAAAACUGCUCAUCUUGAGGUAUGGAAGGGAAAGUGGAAUUCCUAGUGUAGCGGUGAAAUGCGCAGAUAUUAGGAGGAAUACCGGUGGCGAAGGCGACUUUCUGGCCAUUAUCUGACGCUGAGGUACGAAAGCGUGGGUAGCAAACAGG
RNAcentral lists this ribosomal RNA (252 nucleotides) under uncultured bacterium. RNAcentral's name for it is "partial 16S ribosomal RNA". It matches the Rfam family "Bacterial small subunit ribosomal RNA", at positions 524 to 776 of the family's 1533-position model. The record is from RNAcentral.